AAUAUUGGACAAUGGGCGAAAGCCUGAUCCAGCCAUGCCGCGUGUGUGAAGAAGGUCUUCGGAGUNUAAAGCACUUUAGGUUGGGANGAAGGGCUGUAGAUUAAUACUCUGCAAUUUUGACGUUACCGACAGAAGAAGCACCGGCUAACUUCGUGCCAGCAGGCGCGGUAAUACGGAGGGGGCAAGCGUUAAGCGGAAUUACUGGGCGUAAAGCGCGCGUAGGUGGUUCGUUAAGUUGGAUGUGGAAGCCCCCGGCUCAACCAGGGAACUGCAUCCAAAACUGGCGGGAUAGAGUACGGUAGAGGGUGGUGGAAUUUCCUGUGUAGCGGUGAAAUGCGUAGAUAUAGGAAGGAACACCAGUGGCGAAGGCGACCACCUGGACUGAUACUGACACUGGGGUGCGAAAGCGUGGGGAGCAAACAGG
Molecule: ribosomal RNA, 424 nt
Filed under: uncultured bacterium
Lineage: Bacteria
Description: partial 16S ribosomal RNA
Rfam family: Bacterial small subunit ribosomal RNA
Source: RNAcentral